GUCUUGGUAGCUUAAUAUACGAAAGCGUCGGCCUUGUAAGUCGAAGACCGGAGGUGUGAACCCUCCCCUAAACA
RNAcentral lists this transfer RNA (74 nucleotides) under Oxynotus paradoxus (sailfin roughshark). RNAcentral describes it as "tRNA-Thr". It matches the Rfam family "tRNA". Rfam says of the family: Transfer RNA (tRNA) molecules are approximately 80 nucleotides in length. Their secondary structure includes four short double-helical elements and three loops (D, anti-codon, and T loops). Further hydrogen bonds mediate the characteristic L-shaped molecular structure. tRNAs have two regions of fundamental functional importance: the anti-codon, which is responsible for specific mRNA codon recognition, and the 3' end, to which the tRNAs corresponding amino acid is attached (by aminoacyl-tRNA synthetases). tRNAs cope with the degeneracy of the genetic code in two manners: having more than one tRNA (with a specific anti-codon) for a particular amino acid; and 'wobble' base-pairing, i.e. permitting non-standard base-pairing at the 3rd anti-codon position. Lineage: Eukaryota; Metazoa; Chordata; Chondrichthyes; Squaliformes; Oxynotidae. The record is from RNAcentral.